Molecule: unclassified non-coding RNA, 373 nt
Filed under: uncultured Sphingobacteriales bacterium
Lineage: Bacteria; Pseudomonadati; Bacteroidota; Sphingobacteriia; Sphingobacteriales
Description: contains 16S-23S intergenic spacer region
Source: RNAcentral
UCACCGCUUGCGCGGGCAGUCUCAUUAGAGUCCCCAGCUUGACCUGUUGGCAACUAAUGAUAGGGGUUGCGCUCGUUACGGGACUUAACCCAACACCUCACGGCACGAGCUGACGACAGCCAUGCAGCACCUAGUUUCGUGCUAUUGCUAGCUGUCAUAUUUCUACGACAUUCACUAACUUUCAAGCCCAGGUAAGGUUCCUCGCGUAUCAUCGAAUUAAACCACAUGCUCCUCCGCUUGUGCGGGCCCCCGUCAAUUCCUUUGAGUUUCAGUCUUGCGACCGUACUCCCCAGGUGGAUAACUUAAUGCUUUCGCUUAGACGCGUACAGUGUAUCGCACACAUCGAGUUAUCAUCGUUUAGGGUGUGGACUAC